AAGAUGAAAUGUUUGUCUUUCUUGACUCAUUACAUGAAGAAGGUUCUGAAUAUCAAGAUGAAGUUAAGAAUAGAUUGACAUCCAAUUUUGCACUUGCUUGGAAUUCCAUCAUGGAAGAAUAUCAAAUCAAUUUUGAUGCUUUCAAAAUUGUAUAUCCACCAGUACCUCGCCAAAAUAAUCUUUUUGAUUGCGGAGUUUUUACUCUAAAAUACAUGGAACUAUGGGGUCCAAGAGUUCAGCUGACAAACCAUUUC
Molecule: long non-coding RNA, 254 nt
Organism: Oryza sativa Japonica Group (Japanese rice)
Lineage: Eukaryota; Viridiplantae; Streptophyta; Magnoliopsida; Poales; Poaceae
Source: RefSeq, a predicted model, not a curated record